AGUACCUCCAGCUGGUGCGCGGCUACGACCCGCUCCAGGCGGGCCUGGCGGAGCUGCCGGCCUUCGCCGGUUCGGUGGCCGGCGGGCUGCUG
RNAcentral lists this transfer RNA (92 nucleotides) under Kitasatospora aureofaciens. RNAcentral's name for it is "tRNA-Trp(cca)". The record is from RNAcentral. Lineage: Bacteria; Bacillati; Actinomycetota; Actinomycetes; Kitasatosporales; Streptomycetaceae.